This 243-nucleotide long non-coding RNA is filed under the name Glycine max (soybean). RNAcentral describes it as "long non-coding RNA (GMAX_LNC003665)". Lineage: Eukaryota; Viridiplantae; Streptophyta; Magnoliopsida; Fabales; Fabaceae. The record is from RNAcentral.
GAACAUACUAUACAAUAUAAUCAUGUUUCAGAGUAGGACUGUAGGAGUUAGCAAAUCCUAGUUGGUGUAAUACAUGAUAUUUAAUACCUUUAUUUUUUAUCCUCUUAUGUUAUUAUGUUUGCAGUUUGUUUCUCUUGCCCUCUUUGACAUACUUUUCAAAUUCAAAUCCUACUUAUUUGUUUAUUUCACAGUAUUUAGGUACCUUUUUUUGGUGUAAACAGUUACUGCCUUGCUGGUUUUUAU